Astatotilapia calliptera (eastern happy) is the source of this 3148-nucleotide long non-coding RNA. NCBI's taxonomy places the organism in Eukaryota, Metazoa, Chordata, Actinopteri, Cichliformes, Cichlidae. The record is from Ensembl.
AUUUUUGUGUCCUAAUCGAUCCACUGCAUCGUCCAUUGGCAAGGUGGUCGGAGUGUAUUCGAAGAAUGUGAUACCAAAAUUAGCUGUAAACACGAUAUUCUUUGACACAUCCAUCUAUGCCACAAACUUCACGGAAAUCUGGACUAUGGCUAUGUGCAGAAUUAAUAUGACUCAGUAGGGAUUUGAGGGUCAGACCCACAAAAACGAUGUAGAUAACACAGCGCCAAAUCAUUUUGUUUUACUGGUCUGUGAACUACUUUUCCCAUAAAGUCAAGAUAACCAGGAUUAUUCCAUUAUGGGGUAGGAAUGGCUAUCCUAAUUCAGUGCCUUAAAACAGCUGUAGUAAGUAACAGUACCCACACAUCAGUAUUUACAGAACAUAAUCUAACUAAAUAGUCAAAUAUUUAAAUAUAUAUCAUUUUAUAGGUAUAAAAGAGCGAACUAAACCAUUUCCGUACACAACCCCAUACUCCUGAGUUGGUACAGCCCACCUUCCCGCCUCUAGCUCCGUGCCUAAACGGUUGGAUUGCAGGAUCAGAGGUCUGGGUGUAGAUGCGAUACAGUUGGUACAGUGUGAAGAAAUUAAGGCACGCUAUGGAAAAACUGGACGAAAUAACAAUUGCCAACCUGAAAGGUAUGUGACUGUUUUGUUUUUUCUAUGUUUUGUGUUUUGGUAUGUUGCAUGUUAAGUCGCUAGCAUGGCAGGCUAUACCCGGUUGUUAGCUUAGCUUAGCUGUGCGGUUAGCUUAGUUGCAUUAGCAUUUUUAAAUAUGCUAGUGCAGAGAGUUAUGAAAGAAUUCAUGUCCAGUUAUUAGUUUCAGUGUCUGUGAAUUUAUUCAACAAGUGUGCAAAGUGCCAUAAGUUAAUGCCAGUUUUACAGAAAUUGUGGGAGUUUCAAAUUUCCAUUAGUGAAGUUAUUUCAUUAUAUACUUUAGCCCAGGAAGCAAAAAAAAAAAAAAUACAUUUAUAUGUAUACAUGCAUUUAAUUGAUGUAUCACAAAUAUAUUACUUUUACCAGUCAAUAGGAGGAAGGUAAUUUAGAACCUGUGGAGCAGUGAGGAGGGAGUAUAAUGGAAUAGAGUCAUGGUUUUAAAUGGUAAAUAUUAAAUUAUGUUUCCUAUGUAUCCUGUCUGUUACCCAAGCAAAGCUGUCAGCUGGCUUGCACCUGAGGAUAAUGCAAUGUAGUGAUAAUUGGAAACUCCUAUUGCAGAAGCAAAUGUUGGAGAAGACCUGCUCUCAUCACUUUCACGAGAUGACAUCAAAGAUCUGUUUCCUGGUCCUGAACAUUUCCUCAGGCGUCGGGCUCUAUGGCUUGCAGUGCACAAAUGUGAAGAAAGACCUAAAGUUCUUGUGCAAUUUUAUGUGAAAUUAGCCCUAUGUACACUGUAUUUUAGAACAAGACUGCUGCUGAAAAAACGCUAACAACUACUGGAGAUGGUGACUUCUCCAGAGAGGAACCCAGCACUUCUAAGUUUGUGACUAUGUCCAACCCAGAGUACAUAGUCUUCACAGACAGUGAACUUGAGCAAGCUCGACAUUCCUACUUUGAAAAGAAGCAACUGGGGACAGAGUGUGCUGAACCUUUGUCAAAGGAACUCUUUUGUCGACUCGUAAGAAACACCAUGACAAACAUGAUUUCGAUAGCAAGAGCAGCUGAGGACUCCAGAUACCCCAGCAAACAUGAGGUUGAUGCCAUGGCAAAGCGAUUAAUGGAGUACUACCCAAUGCUUAAAGAAACGUGUGGUGAGUGGGAGCAUGUUGCUAAAAAGCUAAUGAAGAGACUCUCCAAUGUCAAAAGUCCAAGGAAGGGCAAAAAACCUCCUGCGAAGAAGCCAAGAAAGGAUGGGAAUGAAAGUGUUGCAAAAAGUGACAGCAGUGGGGAGUCCAGUGCAUCAACUAUUAUUCUAGAUAAAUCACCAGUUAGAUCGAUGGGCACCCCAGUGCACCACCAGGAUGGCAGUGAUGAAGAAUCUGGUUCAGCUGACUUCUUUGACAGCCAAAAAACCCAGGCAAAACACUACAAGACACUUCAAGAAAUAUACAAGACCAAAAAACCGAACGAAGCUGCUGUUACCCAACUGCUGAACCUGGAGUUUGAGUCUAGAAGACAAUUCAUUAACUCUGAUGCUAUAAAGGAGCAGGACAGAGCAGUGAAGAUACUAGAGGCAUAUCCUUGUUUCAGAGAACUGGAUCAUGUCCUUGAUGAGCUGCGGAGAAUUAUUCAACCAUCCAACUUGAAAUACAUUUCUGAGAUGAAGGAUAGAUGGGAAAUCUUCUACUCGAAGGUGCAGUUUUAUGGUGUCAUGAAGAAAGUUAUGAAGCCGCCAAAAACUUUGGAUGGAGUGGAACAUGCAGCAGCUGUGUUCAGAGCCCUUCCCAUGCUUUUCCCUUCCAGCACAGUACCACCUAAGAAGCUGGGCAUCUGUAGUGAGGCUUUUUUCCAUGUCCUAAAGACUUCAGAAGACCCUGAAGGCUACCUGCGUCAGCGACCCCUGGCUUGUCCAGUUCUGCUUGUCUCUGAAGGCAACUGCAUGAUAGCUGUUGGAACCACACCGGUGAGCACUUUUGAACGGAAGGAUCUUAAUGAGGGACUGCUCUAUCUGAUGGCAUAUUACUAUGCCCUCCACCUCACAUAUCCAUAGUGCAUUUCCACGCUGCUGUCUGUCUUGCAAACUGAAAUACUCAAAGACUCCAUCCACCGAGAUUCAACCCCCUCUUACAAGAAGGCGCUUGGUGAGUGGAAGUCAUUCAUUGAGUGAGUCUCUCAGAUGACAGACUCCAUCUGCCUUGUUUAUCAGACUCAGUGUUAGUCAGUGAGGUUGUUUUUUUUUUCUUUAGAAAAGUUGUUCAAAUGUAAAACACAUGUUUGUUUGUGUGGUCGUUAAACUUGUUCUUCUAAAAUGUUAUGUAAUAUAGGAUUUGAAAUAGUGAUUGUUUUAAGCUUCAGCAAAAUUUAUUUUUGAUACCAGCUAUGAGUGUGUUAUACUGUUAUUAUUCAUGUUAAGAGUAUCUUGAAUAUGCACUUCUUAUAUUGGCCAUGUUACACAGUACCCUGCUGAAAUGUAUAAUUUUAGACAUGAUUCUCCUGGAACAGACCUCAGUGAGUUACUGACCCAUUGCUGUGUCAAUAAAAGCGCAAAAACUAAGA